This 445-nucleotide RNase P RNA is filed under the name Thermoleophilia bacterium. RNAcentral describes it as "RNase P RNA component class A". It matches the Rfam family "Bacterial RNase P class A". From Rfam's summary of the family: Ribonuclease P (RNase P) is a ubiquitous endoribonuclease, found in archaea, bacteria and eukarya as well as chloroplasts and mitochondria. Its best characterised activity is the generation of mature 5'-ends of tRNAs by cleaving the 5'-leader elements of precursor-tRNAs. The record is from RNAcentral. Lineage: Bacteria; Bacillati; Actinomycetota; Thermoleophilia.
GGUGCAAGCCGAGCGGCCGCUCCGCCAAAAAUUUUGGGUCCCGUUUAGGGCGGAGGUUCAUUUUGGCGGGGAGGAAAGUCCGGACACCAAAGAGCAGGGUGCUGGGUAACGCCCAGUCGGGGAAACCCGCAGGCAAGUGCCACAGAAAACAAACCGCCUGCUCGGCGGCGUGGGGGAUUUGGUCCGGGGACACGAAUGAUCAUGUCCCCGGGGAAUAAUUCUCCGCGGCGCUGGCGGGUAAGGGUGAAAAGGUGCGGUAAGAGCGCACCGGAGGCGUGGAGACACGUCUGCCAGGUAAACCCCACCCGGUGCAAGGCCAAAUAGGAGAGCGUUCACGGGUUGCUCGCCCGGCUCUCGGGUAGGCCGCAUGAGGGGCGCGGCGACGCGCUUCCCAGAUAGAUGGUCGCAUAGAACAGAAUCCGGCUUACAGGCUUGCUGACCCGAA